RNAcentral lists this long non-coding RNA (1632 nucleotides) under Equus caballus (horse). RNAcentral's name for it is "lncRNA (ENSECAG00000028762.3)". The record is from RNAcentral. Lineage: Eukaryota; Metazoa; Chordata; Mammalia; Perissodactyla; Equidae.
UCAAGGCUGCUUUCCAACUUGACCGUGGCCACAAAAGCACAGACCCCACGGCUUCUUGGCAAUUAAAUGGUUUUCACACUUCUAUUUUUAAAAGGCUUGGAAACGAGGAACGUAGGGGAUCAGGGCGGUUGGGUAAACGAAUGUCUUUCCAAAGUUCUGCUAGCCAGAGGCCCUGUCCUGGCAGGGGUCCCAAAGCAACUGUGAAACCAAGAUGCCACGACAGGGCCCGGUCUGCAAGCCUGUUCCUCAGAUGGGAAAAACAGAAACAUCCCAGUCCCUCAGUCUGUCCUAUGUGACGACAAAGAGUUCGUGUCCCCAAGUGGUCCAGAUGAUUGUCCCCUGCUCUGCACGGGAAUGUAAAGCUUUCACAUUUGGGAUUCUAUUGCACGGGUCCCGGGAAGCCGACUCAGAUGGAGCGCGAACCCCGGGCUGCAGUACAGAGCCGGUGCCAAGGAAAUGGGGAUGCAGGAGUGCCAGGAGGGAUGCUGGAGAAGACCGGGGAGAAGGGGCGCUGAUCACAGCACUUGACUGGAGGCAGAGGGGAGGUCCUUCACAGAAUCAUUUUCCUUAAAAUGUGGAGGGGGAGUGAAGGUGUCUCGUUUUUCUUUUUCUUCGGGAUGAUGAGCAGUGAACCACCGUGCAUGCCAGAGGAACCCACUCCCAGACCAGGCGCACCUGAUGAGCACCCAGAGCAGAGUCCCCCUCACCUGCUGCUGACAGUGUGCACCCACAGGGAGCAGCCAUCAGCCGAGACCCUCUAGGGGCUGCUGCCCAGAGCUCUGGGUGGUCCUGGUGGGAAACACGUAGAGGGAGUUCCUGGGUUUUAUCCCUCCCCUGGGGAUGGUCAUGAUUCCUCUGCCUCCUGCUCUCCUCCCGAGUCCCCAGGGGUGGGCAACACCAGUCACCCACCUCCGGUGGACCACCCAUGUGUGGGUGAGGGUCUGUCCUGGGGGGAGAGGGAAACAGCUGGUGCUGGCUAAGGCGCAGGUGGUGGCCCCGGUGCUGUGAGAGGGAAGCCCGGAGAGGGUGGGAGUCAGGGCCGGAGGCCCACAUCCCAAACAGCCUGUCAGCACGUCGUUCUGUUUCACUGCAUCCCUAAUGCAAAGCUCUGAAGCAAAGGGGUGUGACUGUUCCAGAGUGAGGAGAGAGAAGGUUCUGGGGUUCUGGACAUGGUGAGUAGGGCAGGCCUGAACAGGACACUGAGGUGGAUGGUGUGGACACAGCGGGCAGCUGAAGGCUUUAUGCCAAAUGGGAGAGACAGACAGACAGACAGAAGCAUCCCAGGACCCAGGAGGCAGGAGAGAGCCCCAGGCCGUGGAGAAGCACUGUGGUCUCCAAUGGGGCGAGGCCCGGCCCUCCCACUCCCCAGGCCUUUUUCUCUCUGUGCCUCGGAGGUCCAGGGUGGGCCUGGGGGUGUCAGAAGGGAAGCCCACCUUGGCCACUUGCCUGGCAGGGGCCCCAUAUACAUCCCUGAAGCUACUAAUAGGUGUUUGUCCCAGUUCAGUCCAGCAGAACCCUCUAUGGACCGGAGGGUGAAGAGGAGCAGCCAUGGGAGUGGGGAAGAGAGAGUCUGCUCUGCAGAGACCCAGAAGCUUCUAGGCAGUCACCACUGCCAUGGGAGCACAAGCACAC